RNAcentral lists this ribosomal RNA (308 nucleotides) under uncultured bacterium. RNAcentral's name for it is "bacterial SSU rRNA". It matches the Rfam family "Bacterial small subunit ribosomal RNA", at positions 207 to 507 of the family's 1533-position model. The record is from RNAcentral.
AAGACCUUGCGCUGAUUGAGCGGCCGAUAUCAGAUUAGCUAGUUGGUGAGGUAAAGGCUCACCAAGGCGACGAUCUGUAGCGGGUCUGAGAGGAUGAUCCGCCACACUGGAACUGAGACACGGUCCAGACUCCUACGGGAGGCAGCAGUGGGGAAUUUUGGACAAUGGGCGCAAGCCUGAUCCAGCCAUGCCGCGUGAGUGAAGAAGGCCUUCGGGUUGUAAAGCUCUUUCGGCCGGGAAGAAAUCGCACAGGUUAAUACCCUGUGUGGAUGACGGUACCGGAAUAAGAAGCACCGGCUAACUACGUG